This is a non-coding RNA of Vicugna pacos (alpaca), 309 nucleotides long. NCBI's taxonomy places the organism in Eukaryota, Metazoa, Chordata, Mammalia, Artiodactyla, Camelidae. The record is from RefSeq and is a predicted model, not a curated record.
AGAAAAGUUCCUUCUUCUAAAGAAAGUGCAAGAAAAUGCCCUAUUUGGACUAAAUCAGAAUGGAGAGCCAGUGCCCAGAGAGCCGAGGGAAGAGAAUAAUUACACCUGUAGCUGUCAGCACAAUGAUGGUAAACAUAAAGAAAGAACCUGAGAUGGAGGAUAGAAGGAGAACUUAUUCCAGCCUCCAGGUGUCCUGCCUCUGGGGGCUCCAGUUUUCUCCUCACCAUCUGAUCAUUCUCUCAAGGGCCUGGAUUUUAUUGCAGUCCUCCAUCAUGUGAAAAAUGUUGAGGCAUCAAAGCAUUGAGACCU